AACCUCCGCAAUGUGAGAAAUCGCGACGGGGGGAUCCCAAGUGCCAUUCUUAACGGGAUGGCUUUUCAUUAGUGUAAAGAGCUUUUGGAAUAAGGGCUGGGCAAGACCGGUGCCAGCCGCCGCGGUAACACCGGCAGCUCUAGUGGUAGCAGUUUUUAUUGGGCCUAAAGCGUCCGUAGCCGGUUUAAUAAGUCUCUGGUGAAAUCCUGUAGCUUAACUGUGGGAAUUGCUGGAGAUACUAUUAGACUUGAGACCGGGAGAGGUUAGAGGUACUCCCAGGGUAGAGGUGAAAUUCUGUAAUCCUGGGAGGACCGCCUGUUGCGAAGGCGUCUAACUGGAACGGUUCUGACGGUGAGGGACGAAAGUUAGGGGCGCGAACCGGAUUAGAUACCCGGGUAGUCCUAACCGUAAACGAUGCGGACUUGGUGUUGGGGUGGCUUUGAGCUGCUCCAGUGCCGAAGGGAAGCUGUUAAGUCCGCCGCCGGGGAAGUACGGUCGCAAGACUAGAAACUUAAGGAAUU
Molecule: ribosomal RNA, 521 nt
Filed under: uncultured bacterium
Lineage: Bacteria
Description: bacterial SSU rRNA
Rfam family: Archaeal small subunit ribosomal RNA
Source: RNAcentral